This 489-nucleotide ribosomal RNA is filed under the name uncultured bacterium. RNAcentral describes it as "partial 16S ribosomal RNA". It matches the Rfam family "Bacterial small subunit ribosomal RNA", at positions 28 to 506 of the family's 1533-position model. The record is from RNAcentral.
GAUGAACGCUAGCGAUAGGCUUAACACAUGCAAGUCGAGGGGCAGCAUGGUCUUAGCUUGCUAAGACUGAUGGCGACCGGCGCACGGGUGCGUAACGCGUAUGCAACUUGCCUCACAGAGGGGGAUAACCCGUCGAAAGACGGACUAAUACCGCGUACACUUGGGAUAGGGCAUCCUGACCCAAGGAAAUGAAAUUCGCUGUGAGAUAGGCAUGCGUCCCAUUAGCUAGUUGGUGAGGUAACGGCUCACCAAGGCGACGAUGGGUAGGGGAACUGAGAGGUUGAACCCCCACACUGGUACUGAGACCCGGACCAGACUCCUACGGGAGGCAGCAGUGAGGAAUAUUGGUCAAUGGGCGAGAGCCUGAACCAGCCAAGUCGCGUGAAGGAUGACUGUCUUAUGGAUUGUAAACUUCUUUUAUACGGGAAUAACAAGAGCCACGUGUGGCUCCCUGCAUGUACCGUAUGAAGAAGCAUCGGCUACCUCCGU